UACGGAGGGUGCGAGCGUUGUCCGGAAUCACUGGGCGUAAAGGGUGCGUAGGCGGUUCCGCAAGUCCUGUGUGAAAUCUUCGGGCUCAACUCGAAGUCUGCACGGGAAACUGCGGGGCUUGAGUGUGGGAGAGGUGAGUGGAAUUCCCGGUGUAGCGGUGAAAUGCGUAGAUAUCGAGAGGAACACCGGCGGCGAAGGCGGCCAACUGGACGAGUACUGACGCUGAGACACGAAAGCGUGGGGAGCAAACAGG
RNAcentral lists this ribosomal RNA (253 nucleotides) under uncultured bacterium. Its description in RNAcentral is "partial 16S ribosomal RNA". It matches the Rfam family "Bacterial small subunit ribosomal RNA", at positions 524 to 776 of the family's 1533-position model. The record is from RNAcentral.